RNAcentral lists this ribosomal RNA (697 nucleotides) under uncultured bacterium. RNAcentral describes it as "bacterial SSU rRNA". It matches the Rfam family "Bacterial small subunit ribosomal RNA", at positions 202 to 885 of the family's 1533-position model. The record is from RNAcentral.
GGGGACCUUUCGGCCUUCUUGCCAUCAGAUGUGCCCAGAUGGGAUUAGCUAGUAGGUGGGGUAAUGGCUCACCUAGGCGACGAUCCCUAGCUGGUCUGAGAGGAUGACCAGCCACACUGGAACUGAGACACGGUCCAGACUCCUACGGGAGGCAGCAGUGGGGAAUAUUGCACAAUGGGCGCAAGCCUGAUGCAGCCAUGCCGCGUGUAUGAAGAAGGCCUUCGGGUUGUAAAGUACUUUCAGCGAGGAGGAAGGCAUUGUGGUUAAUAACCACAGUGAUUGACGUUACUCGCAGAAGAAGCACCGGCUAACUCCGUGCCAGCAGCCGCGGUAAUACAGAGGGUGCAAGCGUUAAUCGGAAUUACUGGGCGUAAAGCGCGCGUAGGUGGUUCGUUAAGUUGGAUGUGAAAUCCCCGGGCUCAACCUGGGAACUGCAUUCAAAACUGACGAGCUAGAGUAUGGUAGAGGGUGGUGGAAUUUCCUGUGUAGCGGUGAAAUGCGUAGAUAUAGGAAGGAACACCAGUGGCGAAGGCGACCACCUGGACUGAUACUGACACUGAGGUGCGAAAGCGUGGGGAGCAAACGGGAUUAGAUACCCUGGUAGUCCACGCCGUAAACGAUGUCAACUAGCCGUGGGGAGCCUUGAGCUCUUAGUGGCGCAGGCUAACGCAUUAAGUUGACCGCCUGGGAGACGCCG